AAAUGAAUAGACGGGGGCUCACACAAGCGGUGGAGCAUGUUGCUUAAUUCGAGGCAACGCGAAGAACCUUACCUGGGUUUGACAUGCAUGGAUCAACUCGGUGAAAGCCGAGCCACAGUCGCAAGACCGGAACAUGCACAGGUGCUGCAUGGCUGUCGUCAGCUCGUGCUGUGAAGUGUCGGGUUAAGUCCUCUAACGAGCGCAACCCCUGUCGUUAGUUGCUCACGGGUUAUGCCGAGUACUCUAACGAGACUGCCGCUGUAAAGCGGAGGAAGGUGGGGAUGACGUCAAGUCCUCAUGGCCCUUACAUCCAGGGUUGCAAACGUGCUACAAUGGCGCGUACAAAGCGAAGCGAGGCCGCGAGGCGGAGCAAAUCGCAAAAAGCGCGCCCCAGUUCGGAUUGCAGGCUGCAACUCGCCUGCAUGAAGUCGGAAUCGCUAGUAAUCGGAGAUCAGCUACGCUCCGGUGAAUGUGUUCCUGAGCCUUGUACACACCGCCCGU
This 501-nucleotide ribosomal RNA is filed under the name uncultured bacterium. Its description in RNAcentral is "bacterial SSU rRNA". It matches the Rfam family "Bacterial small subunit ribosomal RNA", at positions 903 to 1397 of the family's 1533-position model. The record is from RNAcentral.